This is a non-coding RNA of Triticum aestivum (bread wheat), 135 nucleotides long. The record is from Rfam. Lineage: Eukaryota; Viridiplantae; Streptophyta; Magnoliopsida; Poales; Poaceae.
AAAAUACUCCCUCCGUCCGAAAAUACUUGUCAUCAAAAUGGAUAAAAAGAGAUGUAUCUAAAACUAAAAUACGUCUAGAUACAUUUCCUUUUAUCCAUUUUGAUGACAAGUAUUUCCGGACGGAGGGAGUAUUUG